GUCGAGCGAACGGAUAAGGAGCUUGCUCCUUUGAAGUUAGCGGCGGACGGGUGAGUAACACGUGGGUAACCUACCUAUAAGACUGGAAUAACUUCGGGAAACCGGAGCUAAUGCCGGAUAACAUUUGGAACCGCAUGGUUCUAAAGUAAAAGAUGGUUUUGCUAUCACUUAUAGAUGGACCCGCGCCGUAUUAGCUAGUUGGUAAGGUAACGGCUUACCAAGGCAACGAUACGUAGCCGACCUGAGAGGGUGAUCGGCCACACUGGAACUGAGACACGGUCCAGACUCCUACGGGAGGCAGCAGUAGGGAAUCUUCCGCAAUGGACGAAAGUCUGACGGAGCAACGCCGCGUGAGUGAUGAAGGUUUUCGGAUCGUAAAACUCUGUUAUUAGGGAAGAACAAAUGUGUAAGUAACUGUGCACAUCUUGACGGUACCUAAUCAGAAAGCCACGGCUAACUACGUGCCAGCAGCCGCGGUAAUACGUAGGUGGCAAGCGUUAUCCGGAAUUAUUGGGCGUAAAGCGCGCGUAGGCGGUUUCUUAAGUCUGAUGUGAAAGCCCACGGCUCAACCGUGGAGGGUCAUUGGAAACUGGGAAACUUGAGUACAGAAGAGGAAAGUGGAAUUCCAUGUGUAGCGGUGAAAUGCGCAGAGAUAUGGAGGAACACCAGUGGCGAAGGCGACUUUCUGGUCUGUAACUGACGCUGAUGUGCGAAAGCGUGGGGAUCAAACAGGAUUAGAUACCCUGGUAGUCCACGCCGUAAACGAUGAGUGCUAAGUGUUAGGGGGUUUCCGCCCCUUA
This 800-nucleotide ribosomal RNA is filed under the name Staphylococcus sp. Mg78. RNAcentral's name for it is "bacterial SSU rRNA". It matches the Rfam family "Bacterial small subunit ribosomal RNA", at positions 61 to 842 of the family's 1533-position model. The record is from RNAcentral. RNAcentral also lists the same sequence under 1 other name. Lineage: Bacteria; Bacillati; Bacillota; Bacilli; Caryophanales; Staphylococcaceae.